GACGAACGCUGGCGGCGUGCUUAACACAUGCAAGUCGAACGGAAAGGCCCCUUUGGGGGUACUCGAGUGGCGAACGGGUGAGUAACACGUGAGUAACCUGCCCUUGACUUCGGGAUAACUUCAGGAAACUGGGGCUAAUACCGGAUAGGAAUCCUUGCUGCAUGGUGGGGGUUGGAAAGCUUCGGCGGUUUUGGAUGGACUCGCGGCUUAUCAGCUUGUUGGUGGGGUAGUGGCUUACCAAGGCUUUGACGGGUAGCCGGCCUGAGAGGGCGACCGGCCACAUUGGGACUGAGAUACGGCCCAGACUCCUACGGGAGGCAGCAGUGGGGAAUAUUGCACAAUGGGCGGAAGCCUGAUGCAGCAACGCCGCGUGCGGGAUGACGGCCUUCGGGUUGAAAACCGCUUUCAGCAGGGGCGAAGCUUGUGGUGACGGUACCUGCAGAAGAAGCACCGGCUAACUACGUG
Molecule: ribosomal RNA, 465 nt
Filed under: uncultured bacterium
Lineage: Bacteria
Description: partial 16S ribosomal RNA
Rfam family: Bacterial small subunit ribosomal RNA
Source: RNAcentral